RNAcentral lists this long non-coding RNA (208 nucleotides) under Elaeis guineensis (African oil palm). RNAcentral's name for it is "long non-coding RNA (EGUI_LNC002991)". Lineage: Eukaryota; Viridiplantae; Streptophyta; Magnoliopsida; Arecales; Arecaceae. The record is from RNAcentral.
UUUCAUUUAUUGAUCUAGCAAUCUUAAGUAAAGGAUCUGAUGGUAACCCAAUUAGGUGUCUCCCUUAACCAAAGCAGUCCACAAACAGACCUCCUUGGUUUAAUGGCACUAACUAUAUAUAUUGGAAAGCACACAUACAUAUAUUCAUAUAAGUACUUGAUUAUGAUCUUUGGAGCAUCAUAAUCAAUGGUCCACAUACACCUACCAU